Mesocricetus auratus (golden hamster) is the source of this 2482-nucleotide long non-coding RNA. RefSeq lists it as uncharacterized. The record is from RefSeq and is a predicted model, not a curated record. NCBI's taxonomy places the organism in Eukaryota, Metazoa, Chordata, Mammalia, Rodentia, Cricetidae. The transcript has 3 exons.
UAGGCAAGGCUGGCAGGCAGAGAGACAGGCAGCUACCAGCCAGAUCAAGAAACAGCAGGAAAGUAAGCCGUACGGAAAGAAAGGUAAAAAGCCCCGAGGCAAAAACAUAGAUGAAGAGAAACAGGUUAACUUAAGUUAAAGGGGGAAAAAAAAAGCUGGCCAGAAACAAACAAAAGCUAAGGCCAAGCAUUCCUGAGUAAUUAGAAGUCUCCAUGCCAUGAUUUGGAAGCUGGUUGGUGGCCGAAAAGAAAAAGACUAGCAGAAGAGAGACUGCCGUGUGUGACUAGAUUCCAAGAUACCGUGUGCUUUGGAUGAGGGGCAAGCUGGGGCCCCGCAAUCUUGGUAUAGGAAACAGUUGAGUCUUGUAUAAGCUUUGGACAUUGGGUCCCUGGAAAUGACGAUGACCCUUUGUGUAGUUAUCAAGCUACAAUGAACUUGGUGGCCAUCCAGUCACCUAGCUGAAGGACUAUAUAGUUGACCAUGCUUGUAAGUGGGGUUGUGAAAAGACUUGGAUAGACAUCUUGCCAAAGCCCAGGGCAGCUGCAAGGAGACACUGUAAACUCCCAAUACCUGUGUAACGUGCCCAGAGGCAAGGGCAUGGGCUUUUUGUACCAGGAUGCAUGGGGCAUAGUCCCCAGCACUAGCAUUCCAGAACUCUGCCUGUCUGGGGCUAGGAUGAAAAGAAAAACUGACUGCCUGGAGCUGUAGCCUGCCCAGUUAGAUGAGGUCUAAAGUCCUGGCUCCUCCUCCUCCUCAUGCCCUUUGCCUGCGCUGCUGUUCAGGUGGGAACCAGCUCACCUGGAGAGAUGUUGAAGCAACACUAGGAAAAACCAAUCCAAACCAAAUUCCAGGAGUCUCUAAGCCGAGCGUGAUCUGAAGUGAGUGGCUGGGUUGGCUUAUGGUUGAGGAACCAGACAGCUCAAUUUGAAGUUGAUGCCGGAAUGACUGAGUUUGAGUUGUUUCGGGAGCAACCUGAGAAGGGAAACCCGCACUUCUUCUUUCUGGACUCCUUUGUCACCUGGCACUUUUUUUUAUCAUUGCUGGGCUCUCUGGAGGAGCCAUGGAAACAGAAACAAGAUGGACAGACACUGUUGCCCGUUCAUAUGCCCAUGAUUCAUGGCAAGUGUGCGAUGGGCCUUGGGAAGCUUUCAGGACGAGGUACUUCCUGUUUCCACCGUUACUUCAUCCUCAACUUUCUUGGACCGCUCCAGCCUGAGCUCCCGUAACAAAACAAGUAAGGUGAUAAGAAUUGCUUCCCUAUACUAGUCCCCGCAGUCUCCCAUUUGGUGGUACCAAGGGACCAUGAAGAAUGAAAAGGGGGAAAAUGAACCAGUGAAGCUGGGAGCGAUGACUGGAAUGUGCUUUCUACUGCAAAAUGUCAGGAUUUAGUGAAGAAGGAGCAGAGACACACCAUAUGUUCCCACUCCAGGCCUGGAACACACCAACUUACAGCAUACUGCCUCACCCGGAAGACAUGAUUACAAAAGAGGCCUGGGCUUCUGCCUUGCCAUGGCUGGCCCACUGCUUUCUAGUCCCCACCCCCUGAUUUCCUGAACUAUCAUGGCUCCAAAACAACUCGGAGGAAGGCUCUGCUCUGAGGGUGGGGAGCAGCAAGCCAGGUGGCAGCUUGGCAAGCGUGGCUGCAGUUGGGUUGUCGUAUUUUUUUUCUUUUUAAAUAACUGACUCCAAUAAAUACAGGUGUACCACAUGGGGAAACCCAUGGUGACAGUGUAAUUAAGAGAAACAAGGCAAGGAUUGCUGGUUUCCUGCUAAGGAGGAUGGCUUCUACCUUUGCCAAGGCUUAGGAAAGACGUGAAAUGGAGGCCCCCACGGAAAUGAGCAGCUAAGAGAACUUAAUGCCAUGAAAGAGGGAGUCUGUUCCUUGAGCUGGGCCUAUGUCAGUCAGGCUUCUCAUUGCCGUGACAAAAUACCUGAGAGGGAUUUCUAAAAAGGAGCAAAGAUUUAUCUUGACUCAUACUUUCAAAGCUUUCAGCCUCUGGUCAGCUGACUCCAUUGUUUCUUGGCUGUGGUGAAGCAGAUCAUGCCAGAAGACACUCAUAGAGUCCGGUCACCCAGUUCAUGGUGGCCAGGCAGUAGAGAGUGAGAUAGGAAAGGGACAGCCAAGCUGUCUAGUGACAAACUUCCUCCAACUAGACCAUAUCUCCCAUGUCCCAUCAGAUUAUGAAACCAUCAAAGGAUUGCUAUUGAUUAGGUCAUAGCCCCCAGGAUCCAGUAACCCCACCCACAAAGCACAAACCCAACACAAACCCAACAACAGUCCAGCCCACAUGCACAGGUGCACUUAGAGGAGUUGAGAUGUGUUUUAGUGGACAGGACUGUUUCUUACUCAAGUGUCUUUACUUUCAGUAUCUACCCUUCUGUAUAGCAUAUCCAUGUCAGAAGGCCUGUAAACCAGGAGUCAAUCCAACCCCUUGACUGUUUAAUUAAUAAAGUUGUGUUGGAAUCCUGCGUUAUCCAUUCA